CCUACGGGGGGCUGCAGUGGGGAAUAUUGCGCAAUGGGCGAAAGCCUGACGCAGCGACGCCGCGUGGGUGAUGAAGGCCUUCGGGUCGUAAAGCCCUGUCGAGAGGGAAGAAACCUUCCGGACCUAAUACGUCCGGGCAUUGACGGUACCUCUUAAGGAAGCACCGGCUAACUCCGUGCCAGCAGCCGCGGUAAUACGGAGGGUGCCAGCGUUGUGCGGAAUCACUGGGCGUAAAUGGCGAGUAGGCGGUGAAAUCCCCUCGCUCAACGAGGGAACUGCGUCGGAUACUGGCAGACUCGAGUACCGGAGAGGAAGGUGGAAUUCCCGGUGUAGCGGUGAAAUGCGUAGAUAUCGGGAGGAACAUCGGUGGCGAAGGCGGCCUUCUGGACGGAUACUGACGCUGAGACGCGAAAGCGUGGGGAGCAAACAGGAUUAGAUACCCUAGUAGUC
This 450-nucleotide ribosomal RNA is filed under the name uncultured bacterium. RNAcentral describes it as "partial 16S ribosomal RNA". It matches the Rfam family "Bacterial small subunit ribosomal RNA", at positions 338 to 795 of the family's 1533-position model. The record is from RNAcentral.